This is a long non-coding RNA of Anneissia japonica, 566 nucleotides long. RefSeq lists it as uncharacterized. NCBI's taxonomy places the organism in Eukaryota, Metazoa, Echinodermata, Crinoidea, Comatulida, Comatulidae. The record is from RefSeq and is a predicted model, not a curated record. The transcript has 3 exons.
CAUAACAUCCAAAUUUCGGUUAAAGCAAGCGUGUAUGUGAAAUACCGGAACUGUGUCGUAGACACGUCGUAGCAAAAACAUCUAAAAUAUUGAAUUUUGGAAUGGUGUUUCUUCUAAGUAAGAAAAUAUACAUAUAGUAUGGCGAUUCUCCAUUUCACGAAUUGUUGCAAAGUGACCAUGAAUACCAAGUUCACCAGGACGGAACCCAAUCCUUGUUACAUUAUGCUGCCUAUUGAACAGUGUCUCAGGUGAAAUCUACCGAUCCAUCAAUAAGUGGGAAGUCGAUGUACAAUCAUUCAGCGGAACACGAUGUGUAUUAAAUGGCCGGAACAUAAAAUGCUAUCACUGCUGGAUUUAUGAGGUCUUAAUUCUACAAAUAAUCGUGCGCGGAUAUUUAUUAGGCGUUACAUCACUGGAUCGCCGGAAUUGAAUCAAAUUUAUCAGUUAGGCCUAUGUUUUUUAUACAACGAACAAGUAAUUCUCAAACAUUACAUACUUAAAUAUAAUUAGGCCUAAGCAUUAUUAUAUUAUAUUAUAUUAUACUAUAUAAAACUAGAAUCUUUAUA